CUGACUUCUCACCGUCUAUAUUCAACAUCAACUACUCCAAGUGAUAAGAGUGAUGCAGCUGCAUCUGUUGUUUGAGCCAUCCGACCAAAGGCUCGUCUGCUGAGAAUAAAGUCAGCGUUACCACUAGAGCCUUGGCGCCUUUUCACUCCGACACAAGACUGCGAUGCUUUGAUACCUGAUAGCAGGAGCCACAUCCUACACCAUCACGGUAGAGGUUCGAUGCAGCUGAUACAUCUCCACCAUUUAUUGUUGCUCCAAAUGAACCAAAUCCACAAGCACCUCCUAAAAAUUCAUGUAAAAAGAUUAAUUUGGAUAGUAGGCCGCUUGAGAAUGAGUGAAACAGUCACUACAUGUUGCAGCCUCUGCUAAAGUCUGCAGAAAGAGCAAAGUUGCAAAAAGAAGCAAGAGAGGCCGAAGAGAGGGAGCCAUUAUUUGAUAUUCGGAGCAAAGAGAAUGAAAGGAAAGAAGGAAUUUCACCAAAAGGUGGCUGGACAUUUUAUUGACAGGCUCAAGCAGACAGGCAAACAGCUUGCCGACAAAGACUGCCACAAAGGGAGUCCAUUAUUUGAACACAUCAGCCAUGACCUGGAAACCAUUAGUGAUCUGUGGUCCCUACUUGUAUUGAUGUAUUCUCCAGGUGAAGUAACGGAAGGAAAUAAUCUUGCAUAUUCAAAGGCUUAAAAGACAAAUAUGCUGUCGAUUUCAUGUACAUGCAGAAAUGAUUUGAAGCGUUGGUGUUGCUUUCAUCUAAUGUUAAGAAGAUACAACAUCGAACAAGUGCAUGGUUAAUCUGCUUAGCCAGGUUGGAUGAUGGAACAAUCAGAAGAAGUUAUGCAUUUUUAAGGCAGAAUCUACUUUAUUUGAAGCCUUAAUUAUGCUUGAGAGAUUUUUAUUUUUUUCAGAAAACCCAUUUAUAUUCAGAGUUGGAAGACUGUGACCAAGAAACUUAGGGAGCUACUAUUCAAAGUUUAUGAGCCCUAAAUGUCGUUGUCAAAACAUGUAUCUGCUGCAAGAAAUUAAGCUGGUGCAGAAAAUGAAUCAACUUGUAGCUGUUUGCAUUCAAAAGGAUUGCAAGAGAAGAUGGUAAAUUAUAGGAAGGUUUUGGAAUCAAAGGUGGUGUGCGGAAUUUUUGUGGACAUGAUAAAGGUUGGUACAUGCAGUUGUAAUUUUUUGGAAUAGGGUUUUCAAUUGAAGUUUUAGUUUAUGAUAAACCCACUGAAACGAAGAAUGGGCGUGGCAUGUGACUUCAACUUCAUGUUCUUUCAAAUCUUAAUCUCAAAAUGAGCUACAUGUUUUAUACCA
This is a long non-coding RNA of Ricinus communis (castor bean), 1302 nucleotides long. RefSeq lists it as uncharacterized. The record is from RefSeq and is a predicted model, not a curated record. Lineage: Eukaryota; Viridiplantae; Streptophyta; Magnoliopsida; Malpighiales; Euphorbiaceae. The transcript has 4 exons.